Molecule: long non-coding RNA, 1096 nt
Filed under: Setaria viridis
Lineage: Eukaryota; Viridiplantae; Streptophyta; Magnoliopsida; Poales; Poaceae
Description: long non-coding RNA (SVIR_LNC005296)
Source: RNAcentral
CAAUGUCUACCAGCAACAAGGGUGGUAGCAGCGGUGACAACGGACAACAAAACCGGCAACAACAUUGCAGUAUCCUGCAUAGAUAGGUUUUUAUUACUGCAAAAUUGAUCCCGGCAGCGCUACCGGUAGUUGCGGUAGAUAGGAUUGUACAUGCAGGUCUCUGCAUAUUGCACCAGGUCUCUGGGCGCAGGCAGACGGGUCGCCAAACCUGCAGAGGAAAGUUUGAGACUUUGGAGGCGAAUGGAAAGAUUUGGAGGUCUACUCAGGGAAACGGAAGCAGAACAGAAAACUUUGGAAAUGUAUCUACAGAAGGAAAGGAGGGUGAAGCGUACCGAGCUCAUAGGCUUUUGCAGCCACGGCGGCAGCAAUGUGAGCGGAGAUCUUUCUGAUGCUGCUGAAGGGCGGGAAGAUCGAUCCCUUCUCAAAGUUCUCCUGAUUGGCCUGAUCAGCUAGUGCUUCCGCUGUUUAAAUGAUUACAGCCAUGAGAUUGCUUCACAUCAAACCCUCCCUAGUUUCCCAUUUGGAUACAUAAUUAACAUUUACAUAUGUUCAUUGACUCCAUUAAGAAGGUACUUACAGGCAGCAAGAAGCAUGUCCUCAUGGACACGGGUGGCUCCAGCCAUAAUCAGACCAAGGCCAAGGCCAGGGAAAAUGUAAGCAUUGUUUGCCUGUCAUGAGUAGCGCAAUUGAGUUAGUAAUGAACUUGUGCUUUCAAAUAGCAGGUGCUUAGAUCAGUAAGGUUGUGUUGCCUCGGAGAAGUAUUAGAUAAAAGAACUACCUGCCCAGGUACAAAAGUCUUCCCAUCGUACUCAACAGGGUUAAAUGGACUACCACUGGCAAAUACAGCACGCCCCUGCAAAUAAAGAGACAUAAGUCCCAUUGUACUCCACAAAGUUUGUUUUCUCAAAUUUAGGCACACUUCUUUUUUUUUCUGGCCAAUUAGGUCACCAUUUAAAUGGUACUUGCACUGAGAUAAAUUUGCAGAUGCGACUCUGCCGAGUGUUGAGAGAGCUCACCUUGGUCCAGUUAUAUGCUUGUUCAGCAGUACAUUCAGAAUGUGAAGUUGGAUUUGACAGUGAAAAGAUGACAGGCCUCU